UACGGAGGGUGCAAGCGUUGUCCGGAUUGACUGGGCGUAAAGCGCACGCAGGCGGACGCGCGCGUGGGGUGUGAAAUCUGGCCGCUUAACGGCCAGGCGCCAUCCCAUACGGCGCGUCUGGAGUGAUGCAGAGGUCGGUGGAAUUGCCGGUGUAGUGGUGAAAUGCGUAGAGAUCGGCAGGAACACCCAGGGGGAAACCAGCCGACUGGGCAUCUACUGACGCUGAGGUGCGAGAGCGUGGGGAGCGAACCGG
This 253-nucleotide ribosomal RNA is filed under the name uncultured bacterium. RNAcentral describes it as "partial 16S ribosomal RNA". It matches the Rfam family "Bacterial small subunit ribosomal RNA", at positions 524 to 776 of the family's 1533-position model. The record is from RNAcentral.